CCCGCAACGAGCGCAACCCUUGUCCCUAGUUGCUACGCAAGAGCACUCUAGGGAGACUGCCGGUGACAAACCGGAGGAAGGUGGGGAUGACGUCAAGUCCUCAUGGCCCUUAUGGGUAGGGCUUCACACGUCAUACAAUGGUCGGAACAGAGGGUCGCCAACCCGCGAGGGGGAGCCAAUCCCAGAAAACCGAUCGUAGUCCGGAUCGCACUCUGCAACUCGAGUGCGUGAAGCUGGAAUCGCUAGUAAUCGCGGAUCAGCAUGCCGCGGUGAAUACGUUCUGUCUCUUAUACACAUCUCCGAG
RNAcentral lists this ribosomal RNA (304 nucleotides) under Escherichia coli. RNAcentral's name for it is "bacterial SSU rRNA". It matches the Rfam family "Bacterial small subunit ribosomal RNA", at positions 1086 to 1397 of the family's 1533-position model. The record is from RNAcentral. Lineage: Bacteria; Pseudomonadati; Pseudomonadota; Gammaproteobacteria; Enterobacterales; Enterobacteriaceae.